GAUGAACGCUGGCGGCGUGCUUAACACAUGCAAGUCGAACGAAGCACUUUUGAUUGAUCCUUCGGGUGAUUGAUAAGGUGACUGAGUGGCGGACGGGUGAGUAACGCGUGGGCAACCUGCCUUGUACAGGGGGACAACAGUUGGAAAUGACUGCUAAUACCGCAUAAGCGCACAGCUUCGCAUGAAGCAGUGUGAAAAACUCCGGUGGUACAAGAUGGGCCCGCGUUGGAUUAGCUAGUUGGUGGGGUAACGGCCUACCAAGGCGACGAUCCAUAGCCGACCUGAGAGGGUGACCGGCCACAUUGGGACUGAGACACGGCCCAA
RNAcentral lists this ribosomal RNA (324 nucleotides) under uncultured bacterium. Its description in RNAcentral is "bacterial SSU rRNA". It matches the Rfam family "Bacterial small subunit ribosomal RNA", at positions 28 to 334 of the family's 1533-position model. The record is from RNAcentral.